Molecule: ribosomal RNA, 253 nt
Filed under: uncultured bacterium
Lineage: Bacteria
Description: partial 16S ribosomal RNA
Rfam family: Bacterial small subunit ribosomal RNA
Source: RNAcentral
UACGUAGGUGGCAAGCGUUAUCCGGAUUUACUGGGUGUAAAGGGCGAGUAGGCGGGAUUGCAAGUCAGAUGUGAAAACUAUGGGCUCAACCGAUAGAGUGCAUUUGAAACUGCAGUUCUUGAGUGAUGGAGAGGCAGGCGGAAUUCCCGGUGUAGCGGUGAAAUGCAUAGAUAUCACACAGAACACCGAUUGCGAAGGCAUCUGACGAAUCGGAGAUUGACGCUGAUGCACGAAAGCGUGGGUAUCGAACAGG